CUGCAGCCAAUUAAGCCAACCAGGUUCCUUUCCUCAUGAUGGCCAGGUGUGCAAUGGCUGCAAACAGCAGCCUCCUCAGUAGUAUUCAUAACCUGUUGCCUGUACAGGUUGCCCUAUAUUGCUGACCUCU
Molecule: small nucleolar RNA, 130 nt
Organism: Jaculus jaculus (lesser Egyptian jerboa)
Lineage: Eukaryota; Metazoa; Chordata; Mammalia; Rodentia; Dipodidae
Gene: SNORA70
Rfam family: Small nucleolar RNA SNORA70
About the family: snoRNA U70 seems to be exclusive to mammals and is a member of the H/ACA class of snoRNA which contain H (ANANNA) and ACA box motifs. H/ACA box snoRNAs are involved in the conversion of uridines to pseudouridines (5-ribosyluracil) a constituent of structural RNAs (transfer, ribosomal, small nuclear, and small nucleolar).
Source: Ensembl